RNAcentral lists this ribosomal RNA (253 nucleotides) under uncultured bacterium. Its description in RNAcentral is "partial 16S ribosomal RNA". It matches the Rfam family "Bacterial small subunit ribosomal RNA", at positions 524 to 776 of the family's 1533-position model. The record is from RNAcentral.
UACGUAGGGUCCGAGCGUUGUCCGGAAUUACUGGGCGUAAAGAGCUCGUAGGUGGUUUGUCGCGUUGUUCGUGAAAACUCACAGCUUAACUGUGGGCGUGCGGGCGAUACGGGCAGACUUGAGUACUGCAGGGGAGACUGGAAUUCCUGGUGUAGCGGUGAAAUGCGUAGAUAUCAGGAGGAACACCGGUGGCGAAGGCGGCUAUCUGGACAGAGUCUGACGCUGAGGCGCGAAAGCUAGGGGAGCAAACAGG